Molecule: long non-coding RNA, 2454 nt
Organism: Empidonax traillii (willow flycatcher)
Lineage: Eukaryota; Metazoa; Chordata; Aves; Passeriformes; Tyrannidae
Exons: 6
Source: RefSeq, a predicted model, not a curated record
UAUGUAUCUCUAUAAGGCUUUCUUUGAGAAGGAGGUGGAAGAUGGCAUUUGUAUACACAAAUACAUCCAUACACUUACUCAAGCUAACACAAUAUGUUAGCACUCUUUUGUGCUGUAAACCUAGUAAGCACACUAUCAUGAUAGCUGGAGAUGAAAUUUUUUGGUAAGAAUGUGCCUAUUCACUCCUCACAUCAUGAUUUCCAGAUUCCCCCUCAGAUUUAUACUGCAGCUCUGAAGCUCCUCAGUGAAAUAUGCUUAAAGUCUUGCUCAUACCUCCCUGGAGCUACACACUGGAGAGCACAGCCGUGUGUGCUGCACAGCUUGGGUACCAGAGCAGAUGCUUCUGCACUGACUGUUCAUGUGGAAGACAGAAUAUGGCAGCUGAUGCAUUUAUCUUUGUUUUGUGCAACUUGGGCACAAAGAGGUUUUCUCACCAAACUGAUCACAGGAUGACAGUAUGAAAAAAAAAGUAUGCUUUUUGCAUUGUCUUUGCAGUUGAAAAUAAAUUGUAAAAAUCUUUUUCGUGUUGCAGGAUUUUCACAAGUACCCCUAAAUGUCAUUUUCUGAAGAAAUGAGACCACUUGGCUUUGUCAGAUUUUCGAUGGAAUUACCAGCAUGCCAAUUCCCAGCUCAAAAAUGCUGAGCCAAUUACAUCUCCAAGAAGUCACCAGACAAAACCUCCUGAAAGUCCCAAGCAGCUUUAUGUUAGUGGAAAUGCAUUUAGGAGUAAGGAAAAGCAUCUGGAUUUUACUGGCAAAUACCUCUGGAAGACAGAACUAAUUGCUCCAAUUAUUACUGGAGAGCCAGGUGGGAAAUGAGAAUGUGAGGACAAUUAGGGAUAGAUAAAAAAUACUUCUCCAAGUUUAGAGCUGAUAAUACUUAGGUUUAUAAUACUGCUGUUGUCUAUCUUGACUCACUUCUUUAAAGUGUGGUAUUUAGGCAUUAGUAGUAAGGCUAUCCCUAGCUUAAGGAAGCACGUAUAAAAUACAGACACCUUUCUAAAAAACAACAGAGAGGAUAAGGACUACUGACAGCGCAUAGGCCUGAUUCAUUGCUUAAGGAUCCCUUGUGACAGGAAGUAUAUCUGUUCAAUUCUUAAAACUGAAAUUUCCAUUCCUUAAAAUAACGGAGGUAUAGGAUGGGGGGAUCAACAGUCUAGCUGCAAGUGCUUUCAGCACUUAUUUUUUACUCCCUUAUGUCCCUUUUUUCCUUUGGUAUUGUAGAAGCUGCUCAUGUGAGAAAUUACCUUUGCUGGUAUUUUCUGCUUUAAAUUUUGGUGGCAUUGAUUAAACUUGUGCUGUCAAGGGUAGUAAAUGGCAGACCCUUGGUAGAAGGUAAUAGCAGAAAACAAGGUUGUGAUUUCAUAUUAAAGACAGUUUAAACAAUGUCAGGUUGAAUUUUAGCCUUUUUAUUUAUAGGGAUAGUAGAAAGGUUUGGCAAAUAUUCUGAUUCCUUCAGUUGGACUUCUUCCUGGGAAAGGAUCACAUUUUAUUCAGUAAUAUUCUAUUUCACGAACUGACCUCUUCUAUAUGUAAAUCAGAAUGUCAAUAAGACUAUAAAAGUAAAUAUUGCAGCCACUAAAAAUGUUUUUUAAAAAAGAGAUCACCAGGUUUACAUUGCUCUUUAGGAAAGAUACUGAGAGUGUGCAGCAAUUUCUUUUGCUACAUACUAUGAGACAUGAACUCAAAACCAAAAAAUGCAAUUCAAUCACUGUUCAAGUCGGUGUUGGUAACAUUUCAGAUUGUCUGGAUUACUCUUUAAAUCCAUGGAUCAAUAUCCAUUACAGUCAAAUCAACAGUCUCAUACUGGGUCAGUUCAAGAUUCUACUGGUUCAAGAAAAAUACUUGAAUGUCCAGACUUUUUCCAGGUUCUCUUACAUUUUAGUAUAUGUUAGGAUUAAAUGUGCAAGACUCCUGAGUUUUGAGUUAUUGCCAAGAGAGCAAACAGCAAUGGGAGUAUUUGACCUUUGUGCAAGAAGUUAAUAGAUGGUGCUCCUUGUGUUUUUGAGACACCAGUCUGAAAAGGCCUUGGAAAGAAUUGGAUCAAGACCUGUUGCAGAAACAUGGAACUAUUUUAAAAUUUCCCACCAGUGAAAGUGACUGGUUCUGACCUGCAGUUCUCAGACUCUUGCUACCCAAUACUAUACAUGUGACAUCCUGACUGUUUCAGGAAUUGAAUCUCAAUCCAAAUGCAAGAAACUGAAAAGAAAGUGGAAUUUUUGUGGCACAGAGCUACUGACUAUCUGUUCAAGACAAAACACUGGGUGAAUUGAGAGAAAUGUGGAUGCCUGAUGCUCCUAAUCAAAGGUACAGAAGAAACCACUGCGGAAGGAGAAAAAUAUUUCUACUUCUAUAACUGUAAAACACCUUUGCCUGAAUGGGCAACUGUUCCCAGAACACCACUCACACAGCACAGGCAUAUUUGUAGUUUGUGUGUUGAACCUUUCAAUAAUCA